CAAAGUGUAGCUUAAAACAAAGCACCCGGCCUACACCCAGAAGAUUUCAGAUACACUGACCACUUUGA
This 68-nucleotide transfer RNA is filed under the name Doedicurus sp. FD-2016a. RNAcentral describes it as "tRNA-Val". It matches the Rfam family "tRNA". From Rfam's summary of the family: Transfer RNA (tRNA) molecules are approximately 80 nucleotides in length. Their secondary structure includes four short double-helical elements and three loops (D, anti-codon, and T loops). The record is from RNAcentral. Lineage: Eukaryota; Metazoa; Chordata; Mammalia; Cingulata; Chlamyphoridae. RNAcentral also lists the same sequence under 1 other name.